AUUGAACGCUGGCGGCAGGCCUAACACAUGCAAGUCGAGCGGAUGAAGGGAGCUUGCUCCUGGAUUCAGCGGCGGACGGGUGAGUAAUGCCUAGGAAUCUGCCUGGUAGUGGGGGAUAACGUCCGGAAACGGGCGCUAAUACCGCAUACGUCCUGAGGGAGAAAGUGGGGGAUCUUCGGACCUCACGCUAUCAGAUGAGCCUAGGUCGGAUUAGCUAGUUGGUGGGGUAAAGGCCUACCAAGGCGACGAUCCGUAACUGGUCUGAGAGGAUGAUCAGUCACACUGGAACUGAGACACGGUCCAGACUCCUACGGGAGGCAGCAGUGGGGAAUAUUGGACAAUGAGCGAAAGCCUGAUCCAGCCAUGCCGCGUGUGUGAAGAAGGUCUUCGGAUUGUAAAGCACUUUAAGUUGGGAGGAAGGGCAGUAAGUUAAUAACUUGCUGUUUUGACGUUACCAACAGAAUAAGCACCGGCUAACUUCGUG
Molecule: ribosomal RNA, 484 nt
Filed under: uncultured bacterium
Lineage: Bacteria
Description: partial 16S ribosomal RNA
Rfam family: Bacterial small subunit ribosomal RNA
Source: RNAcentral